UUCGAUCCUCUUUGAAUCUUUCAUAUUCGACCAAUCGAUCAUCGUCAACAUUCGUUCAUCUUCCAAUCGUCGAUCAUCUUUGAUUUCAGCGACUGUAACAGAGGUUGUAUGGUUUUGCCAUAUGCUUAUCAUAAGGUUUAUUUUGUACCCUACUGGUGAGUACUUCGUUUAAAUUAUCACAAUUUUUUUGUGGCUUUUAAUGUUAUUACUCUUUUUCACUGUUAUCUUUCUUCAUAUCACAGUCAAUGCUUGUUUUCUUUAAUCCAAUCAAGUUCGGGAUCACAUUCACAUUUGGGAAUUUACUUUCACUUGGGGGGUUCAUAACAAACUAUUGACACUUAUAGCAAUCAUUUUAGAGUUUGGUGCACUAAUUUGUUUUUAUUUAAGGAAGUGUGAGGCAAUUCAGAUACUCUUGGAAACAAAUGCUCUGGACACCACCAGCUCUGCCUUCUGCAUGGAAUCCAUCUCAAAAGGGUGUUCAGCACAGUGCCAUGGAGUUGAGGCCUCAACUCUCAGCUACUAGCUCAUACACUCUAUGGUUGCAGGUU
Molecule: long non-coding RNA, 548 nt
Organism: Pistacia vera
Lineage: Eukaryota; Viridiplantae; Streptophyta; Magnoliopsida; Sapindales; Anacardiaceae
Exons: 5
Source: RefSeq, a predicted model, not a curated record